AAAGCGUGCGCAGGCGGUUAUACAAGACAGGCGUGAAAUCCCCGGGCUUAACCUGGGAAUGGCGCCUGUGACUGUAUAGCUAGAGUGUGUCAGAGGGGGGUAGAAUUCCACGUGUAGCAGUGAAAUGCGUAGAUAUGUGGAGGAAUACCAAUGGCGAAGGCAGCCCCCUGGGAUAACACUGACGCUCAUGCACGAAAGCGUGGGGAGCAAACAGGAUUAGAUACCCGUGU
RNAcentral lists this ribosomal RNA (230 nucleotides) under uncultured bacterium. Its description in RNAcentral is "partial 16S ribosomal RNA". It matches the Rfam family "Bacterial small subunit ribosomal RNA", at positions 562 to 791 of the family's 1533-position model. The record is from RNAcentral.